AAGAAACAGAAAGAGGCACAGGCUUUUUUGAGAAUACCCUAGGAUUUCUGCCUAGGGUUUGAAAAGUGAGAAAGUGAGCUAUGAGUGUCGUGAGCCCACCAGAUCUCAAGGAGAGAUUCAUCAACCUCUCAAGCACCUCUGCUGAUGAUCCAGAGCAUCCAAAGAGUCGACAGAUCAAGAUCGAAGGAGUUCGAUCAACAUCGACCGUCAAAAGAGUUCAGCCACG
RNAcentral lists this long non-coding RNA (226 nucleotides) under Elaeis guineensis (African oil palm). RNAcentral's name for it is "long non-coding RNA (EGUI_LNC080301)". The record is from RNAcentral. Lineage: Eukaryota; Viridiplantae; Streptophyta; Magnoliopsida; Arecales; Arecaceae.